AGCUUACACAUGCAGUCGAGCGGGGGAGGUAGCUUGCUACCGGACCUAGCGGCGGACGGGUGAGUAAUGCUUAGGAAUCUGCCUAUUAGUGGGGGACAACAUCUCGAAAGGGAUGCUAAUACCGCAUACGUCCUACGGGAGAAAGCAGGGGAUCUUCGGACCUUGCGCUAAUAGAUGAGCCUAAGUCGGAUUAGCUAGUUGGUGGGGUAAAGGCCUACCAAGGCGACGAUCUGUAGCGGGUCUGAGAGGAUGAUCCGCCACACUGGGACUGAGACACGGCCCAGACUCCUACGGGAGGCAGCAGUGGGGAAUAUUGGACAAUGGGCGCAAGCCUGAUCCAGCCAUGCCGCGUGUGUGAAGAAGGCCUUAUGGUUGUAAAGCACUUUAAGCGAGGAGGAGGCUACUUUAGAUAAUACCUAGAGAUAGUGGACGUUACUCGCAGAAUAAGCACCGGCUAACUCUGUGCCAGCAGCCGCGGUAAUACAGAGGGUGCAAGCGUUAAUCGGAUUUACUGGGCGUAAAGCGCGCGUAGGCGGCUAAUUAAGUCAAAUGUGAAAUCCCCGAGCUUAACUUGGGAAUUGCAUUCGAUACUGGUUAGCUAGAGUGUGGGAGAGGAUGGUAGAAUUCCAGGUGUAGCGGUGAAAUGCGUAGAGAUCUGGAGGAAUACCGAUGGCGAAGGCAGCCAUCUGGCCUAACACUGACGCUGAGGUGCGAAAGCAUGGGGAGCAAACAGGAUUAG
This 739-nucleotide ribosomal RNA is filed under the name Acinetobacter calcoaceticus. Its description in RNAcentral is "bacterial SSU rRNA". It matches the Rfam family "Bacterial small subunit ribosomal RNA", at positions 45 to 781 of the family's 1533-position model. The record is from RNAcentral. Lineage: Bacteria; Pseudomonadati; Pseudomonadota; Gammaproteobacteria; Moraxellales; Moraxellaceae.